Molecule: ribosomal RNA, 42 nt
Filed under: Azadinium spinosum
Lineage: Eukaryota; Dinophyceae; Gonyaulacales; Amphidomataceae
Also listed under: 1 other name
Description: partial small subunit ribosomal RNA
Source: RNAcentral
UCGUAACAAGGUUCCGUAGGUGAACCUGCGGAAGGAUCAUUC